UUAAUUUGGUCACAUCUGCCCAAACCUAGAAUACAUUUUGCACUUGUAUCAUAGGUAGGUCAUCUUAUAAAGUAUAUUUUUAAUUGUGCUUCGCGCAAUAUGCAUCUGUGCUCAGGGUAGAGUGUUGUCAUCAUUGGCUAGCUAACAUCACAAACUACGGUGUCGAGGACGCAUCAAAAAGAAGAAAAGGAAGUCAUCCUGGUGUCACUGUCAUACAAUGACUGUCUCACCUGUUAUAGUAGUUUGAGCCGAUAGAACUUACAUCGUUGUAAGAUACAUCAUUGAUUAUCGAGCAAAAAAAUAUCAAAAAUAUUACAUAUUGCUAUCUUUUUUUAUUUAUGCAUGUAAAUAAUUUUACAAACUACAUCAUUAUUCACCUUAUUUAAACGUACCGGUCUCGCCGGCUGUCCGCAUUACAACCUAACCUAGACGCUAUGCAGCUUAAUCACAUUCACUUUCAUGAUCAAUUUGACGAUCGACAGUCGCAUCGCGGGAAGAGAAAGAGAGAGAGACAGCAAUACACAAGUUUGUUUGUCUCGCCGUCCUGGGACACACCAUUCCUUACAUUGCAUUCAUUGCGUCCGGCGACGGCAACGGUGCCAAAAGUGGUCGCACUGUGUAUUCGCUUGACUUCACAUCCACGACCACGCCAACCAAACACGGCGACGACGAUGACACUGUGUUCUAGUUCUAAUUUGGCAACCGGCUGUCUAAGAUUUGGCCUACAUUUUUCGAAAGCCAAAAGCCAGCGUGUGUUGCUUCUAUUUAACAGCAUUUUGGGUGUUUUCGUUGAUGUUGGUGGAUGGUACAAUUGUUGGACGAACCGUUCCUCCAUGCUUUCUAUCUUCUCAGGCUCCACGAACCAGGACAGCUUAGCCUGUGCUGCUUUUGCUAGUUGAUUGGUGAAUGCUUUUGAAAACUUGUGUGUUUAAAAUUCCAACAUCGCGCGGGUGGAGGAGCGCAUAGCCCAACACACUGGCUGGAGAGUAAAUGUGACGGAUCGUUCUUGUUUCUUCCGUUACGCACUGCAAUGUACAGAAAGCAGCAACGGAUCGAACAGCAGUCGCCCUGUUCCAUCCCUCAGACUCAGGACGGCCUUAACAAUGUUAGCGAUCUAAUAAGCAAGUUCGAGGUACGCAACUAUCCUAUAAAUAGAGGACUGCUGCCCGAACUAUCAUCAGCCCGGCCGGGAUUCAUUGUCCCGGGUACGGAGUGCUACGAAGCGUCCUGCCGACCAUACGGUGGAUCAGCACGAAACGUGUAUCAACACUAUUCGCCGACUCAUUCUCCGCCACUUGGGCAAACGCGUCGCUACCGAGUGCCGAACAGUUUGCCGUACGAAUCGCAACACAACGAUACAGCCUCCCUUAGCGACGGUGGGGAUAGUGUACAGUCGGGCAGGAUGGACGAACGUCGGUUUCGGCAGCGCCCCAGUGGGCUUUACUACCAGAAUGGUUCACUGUCCUCGCUAAACGAGUCCGAUUACUACGAGGAGAUGUUUGAUGUUGGACCACGAGCGCCACCUACCGGUCGGUUCUAUCAGCCGCAGCAACAGCAACAACGUUUCGGCGAUGGUGCGCUUCUCGAGGAGGUGGAAGAAGCGCCACUAAGCAAGGAACAAGUCACUAGCCACCUGUCACGCUUCGGUGCCAUACUACAGAUGCUGUCCCGGAUCCCGUUUCCCCGCAUGUCCGUCACUGGCAUGGGGCUUUGCUCGCUCGUCGCCAUCUUCUUCUGUCCGCGUGCGAUCGGUUCGAAUAUAUUGUUUCCCGGUUUCAGACUACUGUUCGGUACGCUGUACCCGGCCUAUGCCUCGUACAAAGCCGUACGAACGAAGAACGUCAAGGAGUAUGUCAAAUGGAUGAUGUACUGGAUUGUGUUCGCCUUCUUCACCUUUAUCGAAACGUUCACCGACAUACUGCUGUCCUGGUUUCCGUUCUAUUACGAAAUAAAGGUGAUCGUUGUCCUGUGGCUUCUCUCACCGGCCACCCGUGGGAGCUCGACGCUAUACCGCAAGUUUGUACAUCCGAUGCUAACACGCCGAGAACAGGAAAUCGAUGACUACAUCAAUCAAGCCAAAGAGAAGGGUUACACCGCCGUGCUGCAGCUGGGCUCGAAGGGUGUUAACUAUGCCACCAACGUUAUCAUGCAAACGGCCAUCAAGGGGGGAGGUGGACUGGUGCAAACACUGCGCAAAAGCUACAGCUUGAGUGAUCUCUCCGAACCAGACACCCAGCGGACGCAGGAUGAGGUAGACGAGAUCGUUAACCGACCGCAGCGAGUGUUACGAUCGAAGAGUUCCCGAUCGUCCUCCGGCAGCCGGCAGAUGGAAAUGUACUUUCCCGAGGUGGAAAUUGCCGGUGCACCGUAUCAUGCGGCAGCUGCGCCACCAUACAACUACAUUCGUUCAUCGGAUGAUAUAAGCUCCGGUUACUCGAGUGCCGAACCAGGCCUAAGCCGAACGGCCUCGAUGAGCAAUACUGCGCGGCCGAGACUGAAAUCAAAAACACGCGAGGAUCAGGAUGAGUACGGUGCGGAUGUUUUUUACGAUGAGCAGGAACUCUUCUAUGCGGGUAUUAACCAUGAGGGCAUUCGGUCUGGCAACUCCAUUCCACAACGGGCUAGCAUCCACGAACUGCAUGGUGGCAGCGUUAGUUCACUGCCCGCCAUUACCCAGGCCGGACAUACGGUGGAAUCAGCAUCAUCAGCAAUUUACUCUAGCGGCACACAAUCCGCACAGCGCAUCGAACGCAGUGGCGAUGUUCCGACUGAGGUGAAUGAUAAAUAUAAGCUAUUCCUAGCAUGGAUGGAGGAACAGCAAAAACGCGAGAAGGAAGUUCAACAAGAAAGUACUGACAAGGUUUCUAGUAAUGAUGUAAAUACCGAGGACAGUAAUAUGGCCCAACGUGAAAUAGAAACUGGACGUGAAAAUGGGCGACCUUUGAUUGAGGAACAAAAACUAGUUGCUUCUGUGAAGCAAGAUGAAAUCGAAAGGAGUACCAACGAACUGAAACCAACACCGGACGAAAUUGUCACUAGAGCCGAUGGUCUUUCGGCUAUGGAGGAUAACUUUAUGGACACAAUUUCUGUAUCAUCGAACGAAAAUGAUGAGUUUUUGGAGGUAGAAAGCACACCAGAACCUAUGGCAGAAUUAAUUGAUCGCGAGAAGGAGCAACAACAGGAUACUGCGGAGAAUAAACCUUCGGAAGAAGUGAAGGAAAGGUCAGAAAGUGUCACUAUACCAGAGGAAACAGUAAUAGCUGAAUCCAACGUCGAUUCGGAUGUUGAUAGGGAACCAAAAAUGACAGUAGAAACGGUGGAAUUGCCUUCCGUAAUAGAAGAAAAGGAAGAACAACAGCAACCGAUUGCGGUUGGUGAGGAACAAACGCCUCCGGAACCGUCCAAUCUAAUAGUGUCUUCAAGCUCCAGCUCCAACUUAACAUCCUCCAGCUCAUCUCUUGCAGUGUCGGAAGGUAGUACCGGUAGUGUUAUUAAUCUGGCCAACGAAGGAACUGCAUCGCUGCAAGCAAAAAAACAUCCGUCCUUUGGGAAACAGCGUAAGGCUCCACCUGUUCCACCAGCGCCGGAAAUGAUCGUUAUACGAGAACCGCCCAAAACUGUUCCUACCGUUGUUUCUCCUUCUUCAACUCCAUCGAACUCUCGCUCGAGUGGUGGCGGUAUAAGCGAAAAAAGGUCCGCGAACUCUCGCACCAGUUCACCAUCAACCGUAGCGGCCAUUUCGAUGACAGCGUCGGAAAAGUCUAAACCGAAAAAGUUUAUGAGCUCCCUGACGGGUAUGUUUAAGGGCCACGGUGACACAUCGUCCUCAUCGACAUCGAGCAGCCGUUCGAACGAAUCAGCACAAUUACAACCACCGGUAGGACAUCCUAAAGAGACGGAAAUUUAAAAACCCCUCCCACUGGCGAUCCACAGCAUGGUGCACAAAAUUGGUUUAUCGUUGGUUUUACAUUUGAACGAUUCAAGGAAAAGAUGUCGGCAAGCUGUACGACGCUGCCUCGCACAAAGAAACCGGAAAAAGUCACCAAAACACGCUCGAAAACAGAAAAACCAACAGUUUAAUUGUGGUAGUGUGUUCCUGUUGUGUACUGUACGUUUGUUUUUCCAACUACCAAAUCUUUCAUUUUUCCGAGCUUGUUUCGCUGUUCGAAUCAUCGAAAAGGAAGGAUCAUGUAGCUAUUCUAUACGAAGCUAAAUUUUUAGUGUACGUAUUAUGUUUUUUUUUGUUCUUUCCUAGAACACAAUCCGAUGCGUACAUGUAUGUAUGUGUUUCUGUAUGUGUGUAUGUGUAGUUGAUCUGAAGUAGAAUGUGUUUUCUGACGCUGUAAAAUAGGAGCGGACAGGUUUUGUUUUUUUUUUGCUACAAUUCAAUAUAAGCAUUUAUAUAAAAGUAUAAUAGUGGAAAAGGUGGAAAGACUACGGAUAUUGUGCGCAUGCAAAUGGAUGCCAAAAUUUGUGCAAUUGGAUGAUUGGACAUUGCUUGUGAUGGAUAGGAAUUGUAGGUAUAUGAGGCGUAGGAGAGGACACAUGGAACGACAGGGAUGAUUACGCACAAAAAGCCAGAUAUUACAAUACCCGUUCAUGGUGGUAUCUGAUACUAGCUAAAUAUUUUCAUUAUCUUUUCUGAAAUUCUGAAAGAUGCCAUUUAUACUAGUGAAACCCUGUCCCUUUCAACUCAGAAUUAUCUCAUUAUUUCAAUCAUUUUAUUGUAUUCUUUCAUGUUUCAAACGGAAAAUGUGUUUUAGCUAAUGCACAAACAAACACAUACGAGCUUAAUGCUUAAUUUAUGUUUUCUUUUGUUUCAUUGUAUAUCUGCACAAUACUCUACAUAUCUGGCAAUGAGAAGCUAGUUUCUUUAUCGUGGUACUGUUUUACAUGUUUCCAGCUAGUUUAAUUUUAUUUUUUUUGUUCAAAUGGAAUGUAAUGUACCGUUGCUGAAUGAUAAGCAAAAAGAGAUGAAAGAUGAAAACAGAAUAAAACGAUCGUUACGAUGAUAUGAAGGAUAGGAUCUAUGGACCUAUAUGUGACAUUGAUAAAUAAGUGAUAUGUAUGACAUCACGCUUAGAUAGUGCAAUCGAACGAGAAUAAAGGCAAAAACAGAUGCGUGUUGGUGCCGUAAUAAGUGUGUACUGUCGGAAAAAACCAUAGUUAAGCAUUUCCUUCGAUGGUUUUAGCGAACUUUCUUCCGCACCGGGCAGCCCAGAGUAAGUGAAAGCAGUUUAGCAAAUUGUGCAGAGAGGCGAGAGAGAAAGAGAGAGAGAGUGGAUUAAGCUGACAAAUUCACCUUCGUCUAGAAUUAGGGCACGUACAUGUACGGCUGUUGAUGGGAAAUAUUAUACAUCUUAAAGACAUAGCAAGGGAAGGAGAUAGCUUUGUGUUAGGAAUUUCCUUCUAUCCCCAACAUGCUCUCCACUUAAAUCUAUCUGCCCGUAAUCUGGUGAUAAGAGUUACUACGCUCAAUAACUGGCCAAUAAAAUAUGGAAAAUAUUGAAUCGAAAACUAUUUAAUUGCAUUAAACAA
Anopheles funestus (African malaria mosquito) is the source of this 5538-nucleotide RNA transcript. It is a transcript of the gene named histone H3.v1-like, with no coding region annotated. NCBI's taxonomy places the organism in Eukaryota, Metazoa, Arthropoda, Insecta, Diptera, Culicidae. The transcript is spliced from 7 exons. The record is from RefSeq and is a predicted model, not a curated record.